This 253-nucleotide ribosomal RNA is filed under the name uncultured bacterium. Its description in RNAcentral is "partial 16S ribosomal RNA". It matches the Rfam family "Bacterial small subunit ribosomal RNA", at positions 524 to 776 of the family's 1533-position model. The record is from RNAcentral.
UACGGAGGGGGCUAGCGUUAUUCGGAAUUACUGGGCGUAAAGCGCACGUAGGCGGACUGGAAAGUCAGAGGUGAAAUCCCAGGGCUCAACCUUGGAACUGCCUUUGAAACUCUCAGUCUUGAGUUCGAGAGAGGUGAGUGGAAUUCCGAGUGUAGAGGUGAAAUUCGUAGAUAUUCGGAGGAACACCAGUGGCGAAGGCGGCUCACUGGCUCGAUACUGACGCUGAGGUGCGAAAGCGUGGGGAGCAAACAGG